RNAcentral lists this long non-coding RNA (2594 nucleotides) under Mus musculus (house mouse). RNAcentral's name for it is "long non-coding RNA chr9:67984420-67987014". The record is from RNAcentral. Lineage: Eukaryota; Metazoa; Chordata; Mammalia; Rodentia; Muridae.
ACACGUUCACAAAUGCCCACAUGCAUAUGCCACACGUAACAUGUGUGCACCCCUUCACACACACCUGUACAAAUGGACAUGUGCAUGCGGCAUUGACACUUCAUAAAUUUAAUCCUCAGAGAGUUUUCUUGAUGUGAACAAAAUAACUAUAAAUUAGCCUUUAAACCCCAGCUAAUUCCCAAAGUAAAUGAUAUUUUAAUUUCUAUUUAAAAUAAUAAUGAGAAUGUUUAAUUUUGUGCUUUAACAGUGUCUUAUCUAUCAACUAAUAUUGAAGCCAAAGUAGAAACUUGAUCACUAGUAUAUAUUUGAAGUUAAUGAAACUGUUAAAUACAAGCUACAAGCUUUUUUUUUUUUUUUCUUUUUCUUUUUGGACAGGGUCUACUAUGUAGCCCUGGUUGGCUCGGAACUCUCUGUAUAGACCAGGCUGGCCUUGACUUCACAGAUACCCUCCUGAUUAUACCUCUCAUGUGCUGGGAUUAAAGGUGUGCAUUUAUGUUUUUAAAUGCAUAGUUAUAAAAAGCAGUUAGUUGAACACUUUAUGUCUAAAGCAAACACUGUAAAGAGAAUAUAACUGAUGUCCAAGGCCAGACAGCACUUCAUGGACAGAAGGGAUGACCUGCAUCCUUGUCUGGGGCACAGCUCAGGUAAAGCAGCAGCCACAAGGCUUGGGUUUGAACCCUGGCAUUGCCACGUUUCCCUCAAAACAAGACUUCUGUGCUCAUGGGACCACAUAUAGAAAAAUAUGUAAAUAUUAAUCGUAGCCAAAAUACAAAACCAAGAAGCUUCUAGGGCCUGGGUGAUGGGGGAUGGGCACGGUGUCCCCGUGCGUGCAGCUUCCGAGAGAGUCAAGCACGGUCUGUGACUUCAGAUGCUGCAGCUCCUUGUGUGAGAGACACAAGUUUUAGUUUUCCUGAAUAUAUUCCAGUUUUACCAAGACUUUGUGAUCCUCUGAAAUCUGUGUCUUUUUAGUUACUUAUUAUGUUUUAUUGUAUUUUUUUAGCUCCUUAGUGAUUCUUGUGGUUUCUCUUUUUAUAAAUGUAUGUAUUAAGCACAAAGGUUAUUUUAGCUAAGACUAUAGUCAUCUUGUGUGGCCUUUAAGUUUUUGUUACAAUGUCAGACAACCCUUUAAACUGUAAUCUACUGUAAUAAUUUUGGACGAAAUAGAAGGUAAUUGUUGUAGGGUUUGGUGACUUGUAGCUGAGCUUAGCUCCUGCAGCUCUCCCCAUCUUGCUGUGGCCAGAGCUGAGGAGGGAGCACAUUCUGAUUGUGUGGACUCUGUUGGAUUGAGCCCUUUAGGGAGUCAGUGGAACACUGACCUGUAAAUGUCACAGAGUCCUGGAGUAUUAGAGUUUAUCUUCCUUGCUCUUACUGUAAUACUGACUUACUCUAAAUAAUUUAUUUAUUUUGCUGAUGAUUCUUAACGGUCAUACAAGAUUUAAUGCAGUCUUCUUUGCUUUCCUACCUAGUUUUGUUUUUCCGUGUUUGGAAAUGUUUUACUAACACUUUAACCCUUGCCUGUCUACCCACUGAGGUAGUCUUGCAUUGUGUAAUCCGUUCUUCCCUCCGACAUUGGUUCUUGUACCGUACUCAGUGAUAUUAUUAACUCUGUGAUAAAUACCACUGUACAUUUGCAUUUUGCCUUUUCAUGCCGUGUGCUGUUUCCUUAGAAUUAAUUUGGAAGGGAUGAAAAAGAAUGGGUACAGGAUCCUUUCCUUUACCGAAACGUUACUAAAUCCCUCAUGUUAAGUUUUGUGUUGGUCAGUCUGGUCUCCUGUUACCCUCAGUGAUUGUAUCUCGCUCUGAAUUUCAGAGUCUAGUGUGUCUUUAAUAGCACUGGAAAGAUGUUCUCAGUGUAUCCUGGUGAUAAGUUGUACAUGAGGGCUCUUGGCGGGUGAAGCACAGCUUGAUAAGGACUGGACAUGUGAGGAGAGAAGCAGGCUCCCCCAGCUUCUGUGGCUUAAACCUGCCGCCAUGUGUAUUCCUAGAUCGAGCUAAAGCCACUACAUUAUUACAGCAUGCUGUCCUGUUUUCCUGUUUUCUCUGAAGGAACUGAGGGUUUGAUGGUAAAACACUGUUGAGAAUUCACAGGGUGGACUGUGAAACCAGUGCCCAUCUCCCCUCCGCGAUGCACUCUGAAGAUGCCGCUUCAGCUCUGGGAAUUGUCUUCCUCGUUUAUGGCUUUUGCAAUCCUUGUUUGUGGCUUGUUUUUGUAAUUAGCAAGGAAUGGCUAGGGACUGACAUAUUUUUAAGAUGUGGGUUCCAUUGCCUGCAGCACAAAUGAAAAAUGUACUUAAGAUUCACAGUCACAACACCAAGCGUGCUUUCCUGGCUGUGUGUAUGCUGACUGUAUGAUCCUGAUGCCGUAGGGGUGCGUUCUCCUCAGUCAUGCAGCGGGACAGCCGUGUUCACUCAGUGUGUCUAUCUUCUGUAUUUUAUGCCCAUGUAUCAUUUGAACUUUGAUCACUCAUCAUAGGUGAUAUCAAUGAUAUUUAUUAGUAUUUGUUAUAAAACUGUAUUUGUUUCUAAUGUGUAUUGACUAAUUUAAGUCAGUAAUUUUAAGAUACUUGAAAAAGAAAAUAAAUAUUUUAUUGGCU